Molecule: unclassified non-coding RNA, 215 nt
Filed under: Hevea brasiliensis (rubber tree)
Lineage: Eukaryota; Viridiplantae; Streptophyta; Magnoliopsida; Malpighiales; Euphorbiaceae
Source: RNAcentral
GACUCGCCCGUAUCAGAGUUCUCAUUUCCCAGUCCUCUAGCAGAAGGAAAAUUAAGCAACCCAAAGUUGAUAACUCCCUUUUCAUUUUCCACCGAUGCUCGAAUCGAUCCGAUUAUGCUCUUGUUCUCCUCUGUGCCUGGAUUAAGAUAGUGAGUUACAGACCACGAAAAUGAAAGAAAUAUUAGACACACAGAAAUUCUCAACUUGGCCAUUGC